GAGGGUAUAGCUCAGGGGUAGAGUGCAUGGUUAGCAUGAACAGGUCCUGGGUUCAAUCCCCAGCACCUCCG
Molecule: transfer RNA, 71 nt
Filed under: Camelus bactrianus (Bactrian camel)
Lineage: Eukaryota; Metazoa; Chordata; Mammalia; Artiodactyla; Camelidae
Also listed under: 2 other names
Rfam family: tRNA
About the family: Transfer RNA (tRNA) molecules are approximately 80 nucleotides in length.
Source: Rfam by way of RNAcentral